Aegilops tauschii subsp. strangulata is the source of this 3673-nucleotide non-coding RNA. The record is from RefSeq and is a predicted model, not a curated record. NCBI's taxonomy places the organism in Eukaryota, Viridiplantae, Streptophyta, Magnoliopsida, Poales, Poaceae.
GCCCAUCUCUCGCACGCCUCUCUUUUUUUUUUUUUUUUUUUUUUGAACAAGCUCGCACGCCCCUUCUGGCCAACCGCUCGCUCCGCCGCCGCUCGCCCCGCCGCCGCCCCUUCACGCCUCGCCGCUCGCCCCGCCUCUGAUGGCCGCCGAAGCCAGCGGAAGCCGCACGCCCCCUCACCUGCUGACCUGGGGUUGAGACGGCCGAGCCGCUAGAGGAGCCGCCGCCCCUGAGGCCUGCCGACCAGGGGUUGCGCCGGCCGCCCCCGCCGAUUUUCCGCUCGCUAGGGGCCCCGCACGCCCUGGCCUGGGGACUGCCGACGCUGGCGCCUUACGCCCUAGGGUUACUGGCUGCUGCCGACGCCUUACACCGUGCUGUUGCUGGCAGCUUCUGACGCCAUCUGAAUCUUUUCCGGUCAGGAUAAAUUGCGGUGAUUUUGCAUAAUCUGUCCAGGGAGCUUUUCAAGACCAAAUGCUUCCUUAAUCAAGCUGUUUGGCAACGACAAUGCCAAGGUUCAGUUCGGCAAGGAAGCCCAACAACUUUUCUUAAUGACCACUAUGACAAGUAUUCUGGCUUGGUAAAACAAGAAAUUCUGACGGUGCAGCCAGAUGUUGAUAAGGAGGUUAUCUGGUCCUCUCGACCAGUGAGGUUAAAAAACUUCUUCGCCAAAAUCUGAAAGUGUAGAUAUAUGCCUAAGUGUAUGAUAUCAUGGCAUUCACACACUUCACUCCAUCUAAUACAUCAAAUAAAGUGUUGGUAUUGCCUCUCUUUGAUUUCUUUCAUCAUGAAUGGAUAUGUGCAUAUCCUCAUAACUUAUUGUCUGUGUUGCUUGAAUAAGAAUUGCUUUAUUUGUUCAAGUGUUUUUAAUGUUAACCAGUGUGAUUGUCCCUAAAAAAGAACCACCGGUGGUAAUUUGUAGUUUUCUAUGUGGAAACCUGGGUGAUGGAUAGUCUUAUCAGGGUUGUGUGCCGUUCAAAAGGUAGAGGAAACUAGCUUAGUCCAAGAUUUUUAUGCCGCUGAGAUCUGGCAUUACUUUUUUGUUUUACCGCGUUCUGUUAUGAACUCACUCAGAAAGUAGUGCAAAUAAAAAAAAUGGCUUCAUGGAUUCUUCUUCUGACUGCCUUUCCUCAAAGGAAAGAUUAAUUAGUUUUACUUUUUUUUUCCUUAGUUGUCAUUUUAAUAUUUUUGUGUGUACUAAUGAAAGGUUGCAUUUAUUUUCCUUUACUUGGUGAUGGUAAGAACAUAUGCUGCUUGCUAUAUCUUGUUUUGGCCACGUUAAUAGCAAUUACCUUGGUUUUAACAAAGUGCAUAUAUAGUCUGAUUCAUCGUAGCCUUGUAGGCAAAACAUGCGGUGAUAAAAAUGUAGACAACUAUUUUCGCUAUGAAUUCCGAGUAAUACUAGAUAGUCUAACAUGGCUUCAGAUUCUUUUGUUGUUUCAUAUGUUAGUUUUCUUCUUCACAUGGACAAGGGGGCUAAGUUUGGCAUACGUUGUAUAUUUCUCGAUGUAAUAUCUCGUCACUUCCUUUUUUAUAGUCCUUAGUUGCUAGCUUAUAGGUCAAUUGUAGAGGUAGCACUUGUGUUCUCUGGGCUAAGCUUAGUUGGGUGUCAGGCCAAGCACCAAGCAGUUGACUGCAGCCUGGCAAGAAUCUGAGGUAGUAUGUUUUUUUUUUCUGUGUAGCGAUGCAUGGGCCUUUAGCUAUCUUCGAAGCGAAUAAUAAUUGAUUAAUGUAUUUCAAAGAAAGAAAGGAGUGCAAAACAACCAGAAUGGCCAAUGUUGAAGAUCUCAAGUUUUUUUUCAGAGUGAAGAGUACUCCAUAUAAAUUCGAUUGCAGAAGAAACAGUAAGUUUUAACUACUUGCUUUUUGACUUCUUUUAGGAGGGUGAGCAGAUUAGUCGUCAAUUAAUUCCUUCCUUGUUUUAAUUUGGCUUAACCUCUGAUGCACGUGAAUUGUGAGGUAUUUUUUGUACGGGCAUGAUGAGGUUCUAAAGCUUUGUACCAAACUCCAGGUUUGUGUAUUAAUGAAAUUGGUGUAAAAUUAACAGUUAUCUUCUCUGAAUUUAGAAGGGCGGAGUUCAGGUUUGUGUAAUAAUGAUAGUCAAGUUAUUCCACCUCCUCUAUCAACAGUUGGUAUUCCAUCAUUGAAGGUGUUCCUUUAGAAGGGCAGAGUUCUAGAAACACCGGAUCCUCGAUGAAGAGUCAAGUUCAUUUUGCAACUUUUUCUUUCAUUUAGUGAUAUAUUUACAUUUGCAUCACAGGUGAGAUAUUGAACCCUACGUAUAGUUUAGUUUACAUGACCGAUGUUAAUAUUUUGAUACAUUGUUUAAGUAAGGAUUAUCAUGAAUGCUAACUGAUGAAAUCUAUGCGUCCAAGAUGGCAUAAGACAGACUUCACUGUAUAUAAAUGAUUGUUGUUUGCAGAGGGUGAUCGUCACGCCACUGAGGAUAGCGUCGCCGUCGGAGCCGAGGCUGAUUGUCGACCGCCUGGAUCUGGGGGCGCCGCUCAGGCCAGGCGCCCGCACCAUGAUGCUGCCAUCUUCCUACGAGUCACUGCUAGCUGGAGUUGAUCGGUAACUGGUUGAUUUGGCCAUUAAUAGCUUACCCCGAUCUCUCUGUUUCACAUAGGUUAGCUCGGCUAGCGUCCGUCUUGAUGUUUUUCCUGAUGCUGUACAUGGUUUUUUGGGUCUUCUCUACAUAUAUUCGCAAGACAAAUAGGCCUACUAUAGCAUAGUCAAAAUUGGUAGCUCUAUCUAGAAAAGUUGUGAUAUUUUUGGUGAAGUUCUCAAGUUGUGCAUUGUGGUAGUGUCCCUGCUUCAUCUAUAACAACAUCUGCACCUCACUGCCAAGUUGCUGGUGAGCCGCAUCCACGCUAAAGAUGAGGGCGUCAAUUGCAUGGCCUUCUCAGUUUGUUCAAAUUGCAAGUUUGACUGAUUCCCCCUCUAUUCAGGUUGUGAGCCCCUUUGAUUAAUUCCUUGCUAUAACUCUGUAGUGACGGUAUCAAGUUUCAAGGAUUUUGGGUCCAACUCUGUAUGAAUACUGUUUCUUUGCUGCAAGUUGGUCGAUCCAAUCUAAAAAACGAGACCUGAGAGGCAAGCACCCCUCGGCAUAUUUUUAUCGAAGGACAUACCCAGAUUUUUAUAUUAUAAACAGAUGGACACAUUGUUUGAAGUAGUCUUGCAGUAGAUAGUGUUAAGAUGUGCUAUAUGGGAUGAUAUGAACCAAAUAGCAAAAGCAUUGCUGUUGCCUAUGCUACUAAAACAAUAUGGAUACAACAUUAGCUAAAAGCCUAUUUUUAUAUUUAUUCAUCUUCAGAUCAUUCAUUCUUUCUUUAACUUUUUAUUUGCUUCCUCAUUCUGUUCUUGAUUUUCAGGUAACAUAAUUGAUAUGGUUUAGCAUUCAAGGUGUAUGUUCACACGAAACUGUUUUUAAAUGUCACAAUGUUUGUGAAUGGAGCAGCAACACAUUUUUUUUACAUUUCAUGGGCAUAUGCCAAGAUCUCUUAUGCUCCUAAAAAGGAUCUGAUCUUGAUAUACAUGUCCUUGGCGCUUUCAGAAGUAUGUAGACCAUCUCCCGGUACAUGUAAAAGUACCAAUUUCAGAAAUAUGUAAAGGGACCUUCUCUUGGUCCAUGUAAAUAGCACUUUUAGAUAUAUAGUUUAAAACACCUGAAUACGAUUA